CCUACGGUGUGCAGCAGUGGGGAAUAUUGGACAAUGGGCGAAAGCCUGAUCCAGCCAUGCCGCGUGUGUGAAGAAGGCCUUCGGGUUGUAAAGCACUUUCAGUGGGGAAGAAAGCCUUGGGGCUAAUACCCUCGAGGAAGGACAUCACCCACAGAAGAAGCACCGGCUAACUCCGUGCCAGCAGCCGCGGUAAUACGGAGGGUGCGAGCGUUAAUCGGAAUUACUGGGCGUAAAGUGCGCGUAGGCGGUCUGAUAAGCCGGUUGUGAAAGCCCCGGGCUCAACCUGGGAACGGCAUCCGGAACUGUCAGGCUAGAGUGCAGGAGAGGAAGGUAGAAUUCCCGGUGUAGCGGUGAAAUGCGUAGAGAUCGGGAGGAAUACCAGUGGCGAAGGCGGCCUUCUGGACUGACACUGACGCUGAGGUGCGAAAGCGUGGGUAGCAAACAGGAUUAGAUACCCUUGUAGUC
This 465-nucleotide ribosomal RNA is filed under the name Vreelandella stevensii. RNAcentral describes it as "partial 16S ribosomal RNA". It matches the Rfam family "Bacterial small subunit ribosomal RNA", at positions 338 to 795 of the family's 1533-position model. The record is from RNAcentral. Lineage: Bacteria; Pseudomonadati; Pseudomonadota; Gammaproteobacteria; Oceanospirillales; Halomonadaceae.